GCAAACUAUGUUUAGAAAAAAAUAAUGGAUUGUGUUGUAAUGCUCACUGAAUCUCAAGUAUUCCGUAAGUAAGCUUCACAGAUAUGAAGUGCUUUAGGUGUAUUUUCACAAUACCGGUGUUUGAGAGAAAUAGGAAAAACACACAAUAAUAUGUAUACAAUGUAGUCCUUUUACAGUGUGUUUGUGUGCCUCAGACACAGCAGCUAUGGAAUUUUUAUUCCAAAAUGUGCUAACAAGCAAAUGUAUCAUUGUCUGAUUUCUAUCCCACAUUUCUGUAGGUUCUGUUUGCAAUGAUCUGGUUUAAAUCAAAGCUUGUGUACCAACAUGUGGGUUAGGAUCUAAAUAAAGCACUGUCC
Pelobates cultripes (western spadefoot toad) is the source of this 356-nucleotide non-coding RNA. The record is from the annotation of a GenBank genome assembly. Lineage: Eukaryota; Metazoa; Chordata; Amphibia; Anura; Pelobatidae.